RNAcentral lists this small RNA (286 nucleotides) under Pseudogymnoascus sp. WSF 3629. Its description in RNAcentral is "A. fumigatus sRNA Afu_309". It matches the Rfam family "A. fumigatus sRNA Afu_309". The record is from Rfam by way of RNAcentral. Lineage: Eukaryota; Fungi; Ascomycota; Leotiomycetes; Thelebolales; Thelebolaceae.
UCUUCUCUUUCCACCACAUACUCGUGAACGGCUUGACACCAGCAUCGUCUUCGGACGCAUAAUGGAGUCGCCGUUCAGUUUGACUUCGAGGAGCCAUCAAAUCCCCAUGAUGUCAAUUAUCUAGUCAACGGGUCUGAGAUCGAUUAAGCACCUGCAACCUCGAUGUUUUUGAGCCCCUCACGGGAGCUCGACGGAGAGACGGGUGGUCUUAAGUCACUAUAUUCCAAAUCUUUUCGCAGAUGCCGUCGGCGCAUGAUGUUAAAGACUCACCAUGGUGAAUACAGUU